UGGGGAAUCUUGCACAAUGGGGGAAACCCUGAUGCAGCGACGCCGCGUGAACGAUGAAGCCCUUCGGGGUGUAAAGUUCUUUCGACAGGAACGAUAAUGACGGUACCUGGAGAAGAAGCUGCGGCUAACUACGUGCCAGCAGCCGCGGUAAUACGUAGGCAGCGAGCGUUGUUCGGAGUUACUGGGCGUAAAGAGUGCGUAGGCGGCGAGCCAAGUUUGGUGUGAAAUCUCCCGGCUUAACCGGGAGGGUGCGCCGAAAACUGGUUGGCUGGAGUAUGGGAGAGGAAAGCGGAAUUCCUGGUGUAGCGGUGAAAUGCGUAGAUAUCAGAUAGAACACCCAUGGCGAAGGCAGCCACUUGGUCCAUUACUGACGCUAAAGCACGAAAGCGUGGGUA
Molecule: ribosomal RNA, 395 nt
Filed under: uncultured bacterium
Lineage: Bacteria
Description: bacterial SSU rRNA
Rfam family: Bacterial small subunit ribosomal RNA
Source: RNAcentral